AGUCUACGGGAGGCAGCAGUGAGGAAUAUUGGUCAAUGGGCGCAAGCCUGAACCAGCCAAGUAGCGUGGAGGAUGACUGCCCUAUGGGUUGUAAACUCCUUUUAUGCGGGGAUAAAAUGUUUCACGUGUGAGAUAUUGCAGGUACCGCAUGAAUAAGGACCGGCUAAUUCCGUGCCAGCAGCCGCGGUAAUGACU
This 195-nucleotide ribosomal RNA is filed under the name uncultured bacterium. RNAcentral describes it as "partial 16S ribosomal RNA". It matches the Rfam family "Bacterial small subunit ribosomal RNA", at positions 335 to 527 of the family's 1533-position model. The record is from RNAcentral.